This is a small nucleolar RNA of Cyclopterus lumpus (lumpfish), 82 nucleotides long. The record is from Ensembl. NCBI's taxonomy places the organism in Eukaryota, Metazoa, Chordata, Actinopteri, Perciformes, Cyclopteridae.
AGUUGUCAGUGAUAAAACGGAUCUUGCGUCAGGCAUGGCGCCCGACACAGAGGAUACCUUCUGCCUUUCUUCUGAGACUACA